This is a long non-coding RNA of Drosophila albomicans, 623 nucleotides long. RefSeq lists it as uncharacterized. The record is from RefSeq and is a predicted model, not a curated record. The transcript is spliced from 4 exons. NCBI's taxonomy places the organism in Eukaryota, Metazoa, Arthropoda, Insecta, Diptera, Drosophilidae.
AAAAUUCCAAUAUGCGAAAGUUUCUCAGAUUAUUCGCUGUUGUCCUUGUAAUUGUGCAAAUAUAGACAGUCAACACACAACCAACUGAUAGCAACAACAAGUUACUUAACAAAAUUGAAAACAAAGAAAAUUCCCUAUCAGUUAUAUUAAGUGAAAUGCAAAAAAUCCAGUUGAAUACCGCUAACAUUGAAUUGAAAUUAAAGCAAAGUGAUGAGAUUAUCGCUAAGCAAAAUGUUGAGUUGGAAAACAAAUUAAGACUCUUGAAUACUGAAAUAGAUGAACUUUUAAAGAAUAAAGAACAAGUUGCCGAUUAUAAAGAUCAAGUUACGAAGUUGCAAUCAACCAUCAAUAUAAAAAAUGAAGAAAUAUCAAAGUUGAAGUCGGGAAAAGGAAGAGGAUUAUCUAGAAAUUACUAUGUUGAAGUCUGCAGCUGAAAAGCAAAAUAGCGAAAUAGAAAUGCUGAAAAAUGAACAAAAGGAAAACCAAGAGCAAAUUGUGAGAACAUCGUUCAUAGAAACGGAAUUAGAUCGCUGUAAAUAUGACACUAUGGAUAGCCAACAUAAACUUGCCGACUUGGAAAAAACACUAAGCACACUACAAACCGAGUUUAAAUACUGCUAUUC